GUGGGGAAUAUUGGACAAUGGGGGGAACCCUGAUCCAGCCAUGCCGCGUGUGUGAAGAAGGCCUUUUGGUUGUAAAGCACUUUAAGCGAGGAGGAGGCUACCGAGAUUAAUACUCUUGGAUAGUGGACGUUACUCGCAGAAUAAGCACCGGCUAACUCUGUGCCAGCAGCCGCGGUAAUACAGAGGGUGCAAGCGUUAAUCGGAUUUACUGGGCGUAAAGCGCGCGUAGGUGGCCAAUUAAGUCAAAUGUGAAAUCCCCGAGCUUAACUUGGGAAUUGCAUUCGAAACUGGUGGGCUAGAGUAUGGGAGAGGAUGGUAGAAUUCCAGGUGUAGCGGUGAAAUGCGUAGAGAUCUGGAGGAAUACCGAUGGCGAAGGCAGCCAUCUGGCCUAAUACUGACACUGAGGUGCGAAAGCAUGGGGAGCAAACAGGAUUAGAAACCCUGGUAGUCC
RNAcentral lists this ribosomal RNA (451 nucleotides) under uncultured bacterium. RNAcentral describes it as "partial 16S ribosomal RNA". It matches the Rfam family "Bacterial small subunit ribosomal RNA", at positions 354 to 796 of the family's 1533-position model. The record is from RNAcentral.